Long non-coding RNA from Engraulis encrasicolus (European anchovy), 1085 nucleotides. RefSeq lists it as uncharacterized. The transcript is spliced from 3 exons. NCBI's taxonomy places the organism in Eukaryota, Metazoa, Chordata, Actinopteri, Clupeiformes, Engraulidae. The record is from RefSeq and is a predicted model, not a curated record.
CCUUAUUGCGGGAUGGUUGCUCUCUGGUCGUACUUGAGCCCCCUGGACCAUGUCUGCAAAUGCUUCUGAACAUUGACAGAAUUUCUAAAGGAUCGCUGAGGACUCCCCCUCCAUGCGUGACAUCUUUGAGAAAUUUCCACGCUUUCUGGAGAUGCCAAGUUUGACUGGAACCAACUUUGCAUCCCUCGGCACUGACACUGAGAAGGUUUCAAGGACCCCACUACUAGGAGGCGAGAGUUUGACACGGCAUUGUCAUCACUGCCAUGGAUGACAACGUAACCAUUCCUGUUGCUGAUUGCCUGACUUGCGCAGUGACAAGCUUUUCAUGCUCUACUGGGUGUGUAACUUGGCAUAUCCACCACAGUUUAACUCUGUUUUUGCCUCUUUUGAAUAUGUGUACGAUAUAACCAUCUCAACCAACACGUGGGCCAAGGUACUGGAACAUUUCUCACUUCAAGUUGCUCUGUAGUCACUGGACAUUUUUUUUAAACAUCUACGCAGUCACCACCACUCCACACCAUGUGCAUUUUAAUUACUUCUGAUUCCACUGACAUGCAGACUACAUCCUAUGCAAUUUCAGGUAAUUUACCUGGUACUGGAGAAACAGCAUUGUAUGCCAUUCUAAGUGAUACUUGCCUCGUUGUUUUGCAAAAAUGUACUGUUCUUUGAAUAUAACUUAAAGUAAGAUCAUGUUGACUCUGAGGUUUUCUCCGGUUGUCAAGCACAACCUUAACGUUUUGUAAGUAAGUAAUAGUCACAGGAUAUGCAUGCAUUUGUAAUUUGAGCACAACCUUAACGUUUUGUAAGUAAGUAAUAGUCACAGGAUAUGCAUGCAUUUGUAAUUUGAAUUUUCGUUGAAAACGGCUCACCAAGCAUAAAAUGUUACCUCUGCUUUUGAUUUUUCUUUUUUUUUAAAUGUCCCUUAAUACCAGCCUGUCUUUUUGUUGUGUCCACACAACUUUACCAUCAUCAGUGUUGGGAAGGAACAGAUUGCUGUAAGUUACUGUAUCCCCAUCCUUUCAGAUCAGUGCUUUAAAGCCUUUUGAAAUUAAAUUGUUAAUAAACUUUGUGAAAACAAACUCAAA